RNAcentral lists this ribosomal RNA (324 nucleotides) under uncultured eukaryote. Its description in RNAcentral is "partial 18S ribosomal RNA". It matches the Rfam family "Eukaryotic small subunit ribosomal RNA", at positions 1470 to 1796 of the family's 1831-position model. The record is from RNAcentral.
CCCUUAGAUGUUCGGGGCCGCACGCGCGCUACACUGACACACUCAACAAGCUUAUAACCUUGUCCGAGAGGUCUGGGAAAUCUUUGAAUAUGUGUCGUGAUGGGGAUAGAUCGUUGCAAUUCUCGAUCUUCAACGAGGAAUUCCUAGUAGACGUAGUUCAUCAGACUGCAUCGAUUACGUCCCUGCCCUUUGUACACACCGCCCGUCGCUCCUACCGAUUGAAUGCUCAGGUGAGCCAUUCGGACUUUCAUCAUGCUGGUUUCCAGUUUUGAUGAAGGAAAGUCUUGCGAACCUUAUCAUUUAGAGGAAGGAGAAGUCGUAACA